AAAUGUAGGUGGUUAAUUUCAGGCAUCUUGAUGUUUAGAGAAAAAGGCUACAUUUGUAUUUUGCGCAUGAGCAGAAGAAUAUCCAUGUAGCAGCAAAACCGGAUACCUUCAUCUGCCUCAGCUGCAGCAAAACAUGUCUGCCCUCUGGUAGCACAAGGAUGGAAGACUGAAGAAACCCCAACUAAAGAAUCAUGGCAAGAAAAAUGGAUGGACUAUGCAGAACUGGCAAAACUGACACAUAAGCUACGGGACAAGGAUAACUGUGACUUUAAGGACGAAUGGGAACCCUUUACAAAGUAUCUGAAGAUGCAACAAAGUGAACUGGACUCCUUGGCAGGUUUUGAAUAAACAUUCACAAACUUUUUAUUGAUAAUAAUCAGCUAAAUAGUUUGAGGAUCUAUACAACUUUGUAACAUGCAGAAAACAGCAGUCUCAGAGAAACCAAAGACUGGAACUGAGGGAAGGCGGGGGGUGGGGGCAGGUGGGUUUUGUGGGGGGGGGAGGGAGGGAGGAAAAAUGGGGGGGGGGCAAGGAUGAUAUGUUUUUGGAUAAUAUGUCUUGUUUUAAUUUUGAAUAUAUUUUUUAAAAAAACCAAAACAUGUCUGCCCUCCAUUGGUGUGCAGGCGCUGUGACUCUCCAACGGAUUGACCUCACCCCUGAAGGCAAACUCUUACAUUGUCUCCCAAGACAGACACAUGCCAACAAUUGAGCCUGUGUCAGGUCAGUGGUGUUCCUCCAAAGCAGGCCAAAUGAAUAAUUGGCUUUACUGUUUGUAUUAUGAUGUAGCAAGAUUCGAUUUGAUUU
This 804-nucleotide long non-coding RNA is filed under the name Podarcis lilfordi (Lilford's wall lizard). The record is from RNAcentral. Lineage: Eukaryota; Metazoa; Chordata; Lepidosauria; Squamata; Lacertidae.